AGCUGGUUUCUCGAGAAAAGAAUUUCAGUUCCACCUAAAGUUUAUCUAAUUCCCACAGAUCCCCACUAACCUUUAGAGCAAGUCAAAUAAGGUACAGCCUAUUUGACACAGGACUCAACCUUUAAUAACGGGUAAUAAUUUCUUCCUUAUACCUAAGUGGGCCUAAGAGCAGCCACCUUUUAAAAAGCGUCAAAGCUUAUUAUCUCUUAAUUCGCUAACCAUUAUUGACCCCUUUAACCCUACCGAGAAUUCCUAUAAUAUUAUAGGACUUUUUAUGCUAAAACUAGUAACAAGAGACUACCCCUCUCUACAAUGUAAACUAAAGCCAGCUCGAACCCCUCACUGGUACCUAAAGACUUAAAAUAAAGUAACAACUCCACAAGAAAACAUUACCAAACCCACUGUUAACCUAACACAAGAACAUUCCAAGAAAGAUUAAAAGAAAAAGAAGGAACUCGGCAAAUGUUGAAUCCGCCUGUUUACCAAAAACAUCACCUCUUGCUCCCACAUAAGAGGCCCAGCCUGCCCAGUGAUUUUAUUCAACGGCCGCGGUAUCCUAACCGUGCGAAGGUAGCGUAAUCACUUGUUUUUUAAAUAAAGACUAGUAUGAAAGGCAUCACGAGAUUUAAACUGUCUCCCUUUUCUAAUCAGUGAACCUAAUCUCCCCGUGAAGAAGCGGGGAUAACUCUAUAAAUUCAUUUUAACU
Molecule: ribosomal RNA, 706 nt
Filed under: Pristimantis colomai
Lineage: Eukaryota; Metazoa; Chordata; Amphibia; Anura; Strabomantidae
Description: partial large subunit ribosomal RNA
Rfam family: Bacterial large subunit ribosomal RNA (bases 461-629)
Source: RNAcentral